RNAcentral lists this ribosomal RNA (294 nucleotides) under uncultured bacterium. RNAcentral's name for it is "partial 16S ribosomal RNA". It matches the Rfam family "Bacterial small subunit ribosomal RNA", at positions 355 to 650 of the family's 1533-position model. The record is from RNAcentral.
UGGGGAAUAUUGCGCAAUGGGCGAAAGCCUGACGCAGCGACGCCGCGUGUGGGAUGACGGCCUUCGGGUUGUAAACCACUGUCGGGAGGGACGAAUGCGCCGCAAGGCGAGUGACGGUACCUCCAAAGGAAGCACCGGCUAACUCCGUGCCAGCAGCCGCGGUAAUACGGAGGGUGCGAGCAGUUGUCCGGAAUCACUGGGCGUAAAGGGCGCGUAGGUGGCGACCCAAGUCAAUGGUGAAAGCUCGCCGCUUAACGGCGAGUCGGCCACUGAUACUGGGUUGCUGCGAGCACU